UGCUGGAGCGAAUAGAAGUGAGCAUGCAGGCAUGAGUAGCGAUAAUUAAUGUGAGAAUCAUUAACGCCGUAAACCCAAGGUUUCCUACGCGAUGCUCGUCAUCGUAGGGUUAGUCGGGUCCUAAGUCGAGUCCGAAAGGGGUAGACGAUGGCAAAUUGGUUAAUAUUCCAAUACCAACAUUAGUGUGCGAUGGAAGGACGCUUAGGGCUAAGGGGGCUAGCGGAUGGAAGUGCUAGUCUAAGGUCGUAGGAGGUUAUACAGGCAAAUCCGUAUAACAAUACUCCGAGAACUGAAAGGCUUUUUGAAGUCUUCGGAUGGAUAGAAGAACCCCUGAUGCCAUCGAGCCAAGAAAAGUUUCUAAGUUUAGCUAAUGUUGCCCGUACCGUAAACCGACACAGGUGGGUGGGAUGAGUAUUCUAAGGCGCGUGGAAGAACUCUCUUUAAGGAACUCUGCAAAAUAGCACCGUAUCUUCGGUAUAAGGUGUGGUUCGCUUCGUAUUAGGAUUUACUCCGAAAGCGAAGAAACUUACAACAAAGAGUCCCUCCCGACUGUUUACCAAAAACACAGCACUCUGCUAACUCGUAAGAGGAUGUAUAGGGUGUGACGCCUGCCCGGUGCUCGAAGGUUAAUUGAUGGGGUUAGCAUUAGCGAAGCUCUUGAUCGAAGCCCGAGUAAACGGCGGCCGUAACUAUAACGGUCCUAAGGUAGCGAAAUUCCUUGUCGGUUAAAUACCGACCUGCAUGAAUGGCGUAACGAGAUGGGAGCUGUCUCAAAGAGGGAUCCAGUGAAAUUGUAGUGGAGGUGAAAAUUCCUCCUACCCGCGGCAAGACGGAAAGACCCCGUGGACCUUUACUACAGCUUGACACUGCUAUUUGGAUAAGAAUGUGCAGGAUAGGUGGGAGGCUUUGAGUAUAUGACGCCAGUUGUAUAUGAGCCAUUGUUGAGAUACCACUCUUUCUUAUUUGGGUAGCUAACCAGCUUGAGUUAUCCUCAAGUGGGACAAUGUCUGGUGGGUAGUUUGACUGGGGCGGUCGCCUCCCAAAUAAUAACGGAGGCUUACAAAGGUUGGCUCAGAACGGUUGGAAAUCGUUCGUAGAGUAUAAAGGUAUAAGCCAGCUUAACUGCAAGACAUACAAGUCAAGCAGAGACGAAAGUCGGUCUUAGUGAUCCGGUGGUUCUGUGUGGAAGGGCCAUCGCUCAAAGGAUAAAAGGUACCCCGGGGAUAACAGGCUGAUCUCCCCCAAGAGCUCACAUCGACGGGGAGGUUUGGCACCUCGAUGUCGGCUCAUCGCAUCCUGGGGCUGGAGCAGGUCCCAAGGGUAUGGCUGUUCGCCAUUUAAAGCGGUACGCGAGCUGGGUUCAGAACGUCGUGAGACAGUUCGGUCCCUAUCUGCCGUGGGCGUAAGAAGAUUGAAGAGAUUUGACCCUAGUACGAGAGGACCGGGUUGAACAAACCACUGGUGUAGCUGUUGUUCUGCCAAGAGCAUCGCAGCGUAGCUAAGUUUGGAAAGGAUAAACGCUGAAAGCAUCUAAGCGUGAAGCCAACUCUAAGAUGAAUCUUCUCUAAGCUCUCUAGAAGACUACUAGUUUGAUAGGCUGGGUGUGUAAUGGAUGAAAGUCCUUUAGCUGACCAGUACUAAUAGAGCGUUUGGCUUAUCUUU
RNAcentral lists this ribosomal RNA (1662 nucleotides) under Campylobacter coli. RNAcentral describes it as "partial 23S ribosomal RNA". It matches the Rfam family "Bacterial large subunit ribosomal RNA", at positions 1271 to 2925 of the family's 2925-position model. The record is from RNAcentral. Lineage: Bacteria; Pseudomonadati; Campylobacterota; Epsilonproteobacteria; Campylobacterales; Campylobacteraceae.